RNAcentral lists this transfer RNA (73 nucleotides) under Spirochaetia bacterium. RNAcentral's name for it is "tRNA-Pro". It matches the Rfam family "tRNA". From Rfam's summary of the family: Transfer RNA (tRNA) molecules are approximately 80 nucleotides in length. Their secondary structure includes four short double-helical elements and three loops (D, anti-codon, and T loops). The record is from RNAcentral. Lineage: Bacteria; Pseudomonadati; Spirochaetota; Spirochaetia.
CGGGAUGUUGCCUAGUGGCUAUGGCACUUGCUUUGGGAGCAAGACUUCGCGGGUUCGAGUCCCGCCGUCCCGA